RNAcentral lists this ribosomal RNA (216 nucleotides) under Glomeromycotina sp. Its description in RNAcentral is "partial small subunit ribosomal RNA". The stretch from base 40 to 216 matches the Rfam family "Eukaryotic small subunit ribosomal RNA", at positions 686 to 864 of the family's 1831-position model. The record is from RNAcentral. Lineage: Eukaryota; Fungi; Glomeromycota.
GGGUCAGUAGGUUGGUCGUGCCACCGGUACGUACUGGUCUCACUGAUUCCUCCUUCCUGAAGAACCGUAAUGCCAUUAAUUUGGUGUUGCGGGGAAACAGGACUGUUACUUUGAAAAAAUUAGAGUGUUUGAAGCAAGCUAACGCUUGAAUACAUUAGCAUGGAAUAAUGAAAUAGGACGAUCGAUCCUAUUUUGUUGGUUUCUAGGAUUGACGUA